RNAcentral lists this ribosomal RNA (492 nucleotides) under uncultured bacterium. RNAcentral describes it as "partial 16S ribosomal RNA". It matches the Rfam family "Bacterial small subunit ribosomal RNA", at positions 29 to 507 of the family's 1533-position model. The record is from RNAcentral.
AGUGAACGCUGGCGGUAGGCCUAACACAUGCAAGUCGAACGGCAGCACAGUAAGAGCUUGCUCUUACGGGUGGCGAGUGGCGGACGGGUGAGGUAUACAUCGGAAUCUACUUUUUCGUGGGGGAUAACGUAGGGAAACUUACGCUAAUAUCGCAUACGACCUACGGGUGAAAGCAGGGGAUCUUCGGACCUUGCGCGAUUGAAUGAGCCGAUGUCGGAUUAGCUAGUUGGCGGGGUAAAGGCCCACCAAGGCGACGAUCCGUAGCUGGUCUGAGAGGAUGAUCAGCCACACUGGAACUGAGACGCGGUCCAGACUCCUACGGGAGGCAGCAGUGGGGAAUAUUGGACAAUGGGCGCAAGCCUGAUCCAGCCAUACCGCGUGGGUGAAGAAGGCCUUCGGGUUGUAAAGCCCUUUUGUUGGGAAAGAAAAGCAGCAGGUUAAUACCCCGCUGUUCUGACGGUACCCAAAGAAGAAGCACCGGCUAACUUCGUG